GAUGAACGCUAGCGGCAGGCCUAACACAUGCAAGUCGAGGGGCAGCAUGGCGUAGCGAUACGCUGAUGGCGACCGGCGCACGGGUGCGUAACGCGUAUGCAACCUGUCCGGCGCAGGGGGGUAGCCCGUCGAAAGGCGGGGUAAUCCCGCAUGAACCGGUAUUCCCGCAUGGGGGUGCCGGCAAAGUGGAGACGCGGGGCCGGAGGGGCAUGCGUGCCAUUAGCUGGCUGGUGGGGUAACGGCCCACCAGGGCGAUGAUGGGUAGCUGGCGUGAGAGCGCGACCAGCCACACUGGAACUGAGACACGGUCCAGACUCCUACGGGAGGCAGCAGUAGGGAAUAUUGGACAAUGGGCGAAAGCCUGAUCCAGCCAUGCCGCGUGAUAGAUGAAGGCCCUCUGGGUUGUAAAUAUCUUUUAUCUGGGAAGAAACUCCUCUAUUCUUAGAGGCCUGACGGUACCAGAGGAAUAAGCACCGGCUAACUCCGUGCC
This 490-nucleotide ribosomal RNA is filed under the name uncultured bacterium. RNAcentral's name for it is "bacterial SSU rRNA". It matches the Rfam family "Bacterial small subunit ribosomal RNA", at positions 28 to 509 of the family's 1533-position model. The record is from RNAcentral.